AUGCACGCUGGCGGCGUGCUUAACACGUGCCAGUCGCACGGUGAAGGCGGAGCUUGCUCUGCUGGAUCAGUGGCGAACGGGUGAGUAACACGUGAGCAAUCUGCCCCUGACUCUGGGAUAAGCGCUGGAAACGGCGUCUAAUACUGGAUACGAGCUGCGAAGGCAUCUUCAGCAGCUGGAAAGAACUUCGGUCAGGGAUGAGCUCGCGGCCUAUCAGCUUGUUGGUGAGGUAACGGCUCACCAAGGCGUCGACGGGUAGCCGGCCUGAGAGGGUGACCGGCCACACUGGGACUGAGACACGGCCCAGACUCCUACGGGAGGCAGCAGUGGGGAAUAUUGCACAAUGGGCGAAAGCCUGAUGCAGCAACGCCGCGUGAGGGACGACGGCCUUCGGGUUGUAAACCUCUUUUAGCAGGGAAGAAGCGAAAGUGACGGUACCUGCAGAAAAAGCGCCGGCUAACUACGUG
Molecule: ribosomal RNA, 467 nt
Filed under: uncultured bacterium
Lineage: Bacteria
Description: partial 16S ribosomal RNA
Rfam family: Bacterial small subunit ribosomal RNA
Source: RNAcentral